AACGAACGCUGGCGGCAGGCUUAACACAUGCAAGUCGAGCGCCCCGCAAGGGGAGCGGCAGACGGGUGAGUAACACGUGGGAACGUACCCAUCUCUGCGGAACAACUCCGGGAAACUGGAGCUAAUACCGCAUACGCCCUUAGGGGGAAAGAUUUAUCGGAGAUGGAUCGGCCCGCGUUGGAUUAGCUAGUUGGUGGGGUAAAGGCCUACCAAGGCGACGAUCCAUAGCUGGUCUGAGAGGAUGAUCAGCCACAUUGGGACUGAGACACGGCCCAAACUCCUACGGGAGGCAGCAGUGGGGAAUAUUGGACAAUGGGCGCAAGCCUGAUCCAGCCAUGCCGCGUGAGUGAUGAAGGCCUUAGGGUUGUAAAGCUCUUUCAACGGUGAAGAUAAUGACGGUAACCGUAGAAGAAGCCCCGGCUAACUUCGUGCCAGCAGCCGCGGUAACAC
This 450-nucleotide ribosomal RNA is filed under the name uncultured bacterium. Its description in RNAcentral is "bacterial SSU rRNA". It matches the Rfam family "Bacterial small subunit ribosomal RNA", at positions 29 to 526 of the family's 1533-position model. The record is from RNAcentral.